AUCACUUCUCAUCCUUUUGGCUAAGAUCAAGUGUAGUAUCUAUUCUUAUCAGUUUACUAUCUGAUAUGUCCUCUAUGCUAUGACAAUAUACUAAAUGAAUUUGGAGCAGGGAAGUUAUAUAGGAGCUUGGUUCCAUCAAUUCUGUACAGCACCCUGGCAUUACAGUAUCUCCAGGAAUGGAGGAGAACUU
RNAcentral lists this small nuclear RNA (190 nucleotides) under Castor canadensis (American beaver). RNAcentral describes it as "U2 spliceosomal RNA (ENSCCNG00000020630.1)". It matches the Rfam family "U2 spliceosomal RNA". From Rfam's summary of the family: U2 is a small nuclear RNA (snRNA) component of the spliceosome (involved in pre-mRNA splicing). Lineage: Eukaryota; Metazoa; Chordata; Mammalia; Rodentia; Castoridae. The record is from Rfam by way of RNAcentral.